RNAcentral lists this ribosomal RNA (468 nucleotides) under uncultured bacterium. RNAcentral's name for it is "partial 16S ribosomal RNA". It matches the Rfam family "Bacterial small subunit ribosomal RNA", at positions 28 to 507 of the family's 1533-position model. The record is from RNAcentral.
GACGAACGCUGGCGGCGUGCUUAACACAUGCAAGUCGAACGGAAAGGCCCUGCUUUUGUGGGGUGCUCGAGUGGCGAACGGGUGAGUAACACGUGAGUAACCUGCCCUUGACUUUGGGAUAACUUCAGGAAACUGGGGCUAAUACCGGAUAGGAGCUCCUGCUGCAUGGUGGGGGUUGGAAAGUUUCGGCGGUUGGGGAUGGACUCGCGGCUUAUCAGCUUGUUGGUGGGGUAGUGGCUUGCCAAGGCUUUGACGGGUAGCCGGCCUGAGAGGGUGACCGGCCACAUUGGGACUGAGAUACGGCCCAGACUCCUACGGGAGGCAGCAGUGGGGAAUAUUGCACAAUGGGCGGAAGCCUGAUGCAGCAACGCCGCGUGCGGGAUGACGGCCUUCGGGUUGUAAACCGCCUUCGCCUGUGACGAAGCGUGAGUGACGGUAAUGGGUAAAGAAGCACCGGCUAACUACGUG